CUCGUCAUUUGCCGUCAUCACGCGGAGAUAUUUGCGCUGAAUGUCUUUCACUUCGUGUACAAAACUCUGCACGCUGCGGCAUCGAAGAAGUUGUCCUGUGUUUGGGUGCACGUAUGCGCUUGGACACGGAUAGCCGGCUUGCUCUCAGCGGGUGUUCAACAGUCUACGCGCGCUCGUAACUUGCUCAUGUGGCAAGCUGUUGUUGUGCUGGAGCUGAGAAGAGGUCUGCUGCCUGCAAUGGGUCCAUCUCUCUCAAGUUAUUGCAGUAUUGUAGCUCUCAAGGUUCAAAAAAAGUACGGUGGAAGAUGUUGUCAAGGUUCCGACCAGAAAAGACAGCCAGUAUAAAACAGUCCACGCCACUGAUCUCUACUACAGGGUAUGAACAGCACAUCGAGCGCCCUCGACUGAAGCUGGCCUUGUCCCGGAAGUUGGUGCUUCACAACUUUGCGGCAGCACUUUUUUGCAUGGCCUGUGGAGACAAGGUUUCUUAGACAUGGCCAUGGCCCUCAAUGAAGAUGCCGAGGCCACAGGCAGUUCAUCCAGUGACCGUGAAAAGGUCCCCUGGGGCACUAGUCUGGUUUGGCACCCCCACCUUUCUCCUGCAGCUUUUGUGUCUACUUAGUCAACCAGCAGCAAGUUUAUCCUUGCAAGCGUUUGGAGUCAAGAACAACUUUCACCAGGAACAAGUGAAAGAUGAGUGAUCGAAGAAAAUAAAGUUGCUUCUGUGAUCAAAGAA
This 736-nucleotide long non-coding RNA is filed under the name Dermacentor andersoni. RNAcentral describes it as "uncharacterized LOC126519897". The record is from RNAcentral. Lineage: Eukaryota; Metazoa; Arthropoda; Arachnida; Ixodida; Ixodidae.